Molecule: transfer RNA, 84 nt
Filed under: Spirilliplanes yamanashiensis
Lineage: Bacteria; Bacillati; Actinomycetota; Actinomycetes; Micromonosporales; Micromonosporaceae
Description: tRNA-Arg
Rfam family: tRNA (bases 18-81)
About the family: Transfer RNA (tRNA) molecules are approximately 80 nucleotides in length. Their secondary structure includes four short double-helical elements and three loops (D, anti-codon, and T loops).
Source: RNAcentral
AGCUGGUCAGCGGCUCUGCGCCCGCAAGGUCAGCGUCGCCCUCCGGAGGCGAAAGCGCAGGUUCGAAUCCUGCCGGGGGCACCA